RNAcentral lists this ribosomal RNA (253 nucleotides) under uncultured bacterium. RNAcentral describes it as "partial 16S ribosomal RNA". It matches the Rfam family "Bacterial small subunit ribosomal RNA", at positions 524 to 776 of the family's 1533-position model. The record is from RNAcentral.
UACGUAGGGGGCAAGCGUUGUCCGGAAUCAUUGGGCGUAAAGGGCGCGUAGGCGGCUCGGCACGUCCGUUGUGAAAUCGCCCGGCUCAACUGGGCGGGGUCAGCGGAUACGGUCGAGCUUGAGCAAGCUAGGGGGCAAUGGAAUUCCCGGUGUAGUGGUGGAAUGCGUAGAUAUCGGGAGGAACACCAGUGGCGAAGGCGGUUGCCUGGGGCUUUGCUGACGCUGAUGCGCGAAAGCGUGGGGAGCGAUCCGG